GAUUUUCGAGUUUCCUUAGGUAACCCAAGAAGAAAGGUGUGAAAAAGGAAGGAGUGAAUGAGAUAAGAAUGGGGAGGAGGAUGUGAGGAAGGAAUACAUCAAGAUGCCAGGGAGCUGAGCAAGAGGCAGCCAGGGAGAAGUUCUGGGCUAUGGCCAAGGAUCUUUAAAGAGCAAGGAUCUUUAAAUAGUCAGUUUUAAGAUGUUUGGUGCAGCCUAAAUUCCUCUUCCUCUUCCCCUGCCUGAAUCUUCCGUAAGAAUCUACUACACAGAGAUGCCUUGUAUCUGCAGCAUUUUGAGAAGAGGGAAAGAGGCUGUUGCUUUGGGAAUGAUGCAGAGUGGAGAAAAAGAACAGCCAAAAGAGGCUAGACUUGAGAGAAAUUACAGUAAUUCAGUAAAAGCAGGAAAUAAUAGAAAAACAUUGACUCCAAAGAUCCUGGAAGGUGCCAGCAAGUGAGGUUAGGUUUCCCACUGUAGAUGUAAUGGAAACAUGGUUUCCCCACCAACUUCGAGGCUUGAGAGCUUACAGAUAAUCCUUAAAGUCCAACUAAUUGGUUAACAGAACAGGACGUGAAAGCAGACAGCCCGUCAGACCACAGGCCUGUGCAUCAAAGGAGCGGUCCACUCCAAGCACCAUCAGCAGGGCAGCAGAGCUCUCUGCCUCUGGGAACGAGCGAGAGAUAGAAGACUUUCCCCUUAUCCUCAGAGGACUUCUCCUCUUUUACAAGCAACCUCCUGCUGUUCCCUUCUGGGGAAUGGAGCAGGGGUCGCUUCCCUUCCCACAAGACCUUUGUUCAGGGACUCAAGUGGGAGGUUGAGCAAUAAGCAAGCUUUCUUGCUUAGAGGCUCCGCACACUUCCUGUGGUUGUUUGUUCCACCCUGCAGUUAGGCAAGCAAGCUCACCGCCUGAUUCUUAUAUUGUCGGACUAAGCAGAAGCUAUUCUUAUGAUUCAUGACUAUAUUAAUAAAGCACUAUUCUAAAGCAUAUUUUGUUAAUCCUUAAACAGGCACACCAUAGGCCAGCCCUCAACCACCUCGGCCCACAUCCAAGCCCCUGUUUUGACCCACAUUUCCCCCAUUUUUUAAAUUUAAAACAGCCAUCUCAAUCAUAACUUGCUUGUGGUUUUGAUUUUCUUUCAGGAGCUGCCUUCCGCAUCUGCAGACUAAAAACAGACAACAUAAGCAGACACAAAUUAAAACAAAAUUAGCAAUGGCAGAGCUUCCCAGAGUUUUAAUCCAUUUGAUAGAAUUGAGCUCCGAGAGCCUAUCUGCAGCUCCAGCAAGCAUUUCUGCUCCAGGCAACAAAUUUAAGUGAGCCUGCGAUGCUGCAAAAAUCUGUUCUUUUAAUUUAGUUAUAUCCAGGGUUAGAUUAUCUUCUCUUCCUUGUAAGUGGCAUCAGACCUUUUCCCACUGAUGUUCAGUAACAUUAUAAGAAUAAGGAGUAAUACAAAAAGCAGAUGUAUUCCAAUCACAUUGCAUUUGCAUACGAUGCUCUAAAUGCAUAAAACGAUCUCUUAUCCAGGUGACUGUUUGCCUCAAAUCAUUAAUUUGAUUGGCCAACUUCUGAUCAAUUUUUGCCUGAGAAUUCCAUAAUCUGGUGGAAUUUUUCUGCCAGGCAUUAACAUAAUGAGCAGUUUGAAUGGAAGAAUGCAAGGCAACACCUGCCACAGCCGCGGUGGUGGUGACAGCAAUCAAGCCCAUAAUCACAGCAAUUAAAGUAAAAAUAAAUCUUAUUGUACGAUUAAGAAUCCCUUUUAAAACUCCAGUUAUUACAUGAAUAGAGGGAAAAGUCUCCCAAGGCCUAUUAAGAGUAACUGGAAUCCAAACGCCCUCUCGUGCUCGGACCAGCAAAAUGCUAUUCCUCAUAUCAAAAGUAGAAUGAAUACAAGUAAACAGAUGGCAAUUGUCACAAGUAAUGGUUUGAGAGUCAGGUAAAAUGAUAAGUUUUCCAACAACUAACAUGUAAGGAGGUUUAACACAACUUUGAAGAGAAAUAGACUGAUUAGACUGAAGAAGCAUGGUAAACAGUAGCUUAUUACCUCUUGUUCCCCAUGAUGCUUCCCCUUUCCACACUCUCAUUCCGGAGGUAGCCAUAAGCAACUUCCACAAUUCUGGAUGUUCCAGACCCAUGACUGGACUAAUUAUCUUUGGCCAGGGAGGAGCAGUACCUUUAUCUUCCCAUUUCAAUGGAUAUAGUGAUUCCAAUCUUCUAACUAAAGUGGGGGGAUUAUUGGGACUUUCUCUAUAAUCUAUCAUGAAGGAAUCCUCAGCGCACCCAGCAUUUUGUCCAGUGCAAUUUCUGGCAAAGGAUCCUUUGGGGGCCCAAUCUAUAAUUAUUCCAUAAGAAUCCUUUUGCAAAACUACUGCACCAUCUGCUACACAGUUGUCCCAAGCAAGAAUCUCUAGUUUUUCUGACCAUUUUGGAUUUCUUUUAGGACAAGCCAGUCCUUGAGAUUUGUAAUUUUUUACUUUUAAAUUUGACCGAAAAUAACCAUCCCCAUAAGUUUUUACAGUCAUGAUAGGUUGGAAAGACAUUCCACUCACUACGUGAUAACUGGGUUGGGAACGAUUAUGAGGAGGUACAUAGAUUAUCCAACUAUGUAUUUGCAAUGGUAAACAUCAAGGAGCAAUUCCUAAACAAAUUGGAGGGUAUUCAUACCAGUUACAUUCAUCAACAUACCCUCCUUCUCAGGCUGUGCAGGACAGCCAUCAUCAAUCGGCCCAGGCAUCCAAAAUACUAUCAUUUGUAUAAACUUCAAUAGGGGAAUCCAUCCAAGUAACUGGCCUAAUUAAAGGAGGAAAUGGAACAGAAGCCAGUAUGUAAAAUUUUCUUCAGUCCAGACAGCAGGGAGACUUACCGCCGCGGUAAUUACCAUCAAGGCAGCCAAGAUCAUAUUACCCGGGAUAAUUGCCAGUUGUUUCUCCUUUAGGCUGCCCUCUGCCAUUUGAGUCAGCU
Molecule: long non-coding RNA, 2953 nt
Filed under: Homo sapiens (human)
Lineage: Eukaryota; Metazoa; Chordata; Mammalia; Primates; Hominidae
Description: HSALNT0133601
Source: RNAcentral